Molecule: long non-coding RNA, 2173 nt
Filed under: Daucus carota (carrot)
Lineage: Eukaryota; Viridiplantae; Streptophyta; Magnoliopsida; Apiales; Apiaceae
Description: long non-coding RNA (DCAR_LNC000133)
Source: RNAcentral
GGUUUAAUUUAUGUAUUUAAAUUUUAUCAAAAAAUAAAAUAAAAAUGCAGUGUUUUAAUUUUUUACGUUGCAAAAAAGCAAAAUUGAAGCAGCCGUGUGUGUUCCAAAAAUGCCGUGUGCAAUCAAAUUUUUAUUGGUGAAUGCACCAGCCGUGGAGGUAGCUUAAGAGUUUUUUACAGCCUUUAUUUAAACCCUCUCCACCAACAUCUUCAUUUUAAUCUCUCUGAAACCCUCUCAAGCUAUACAAAAACCCUCUCAACGUCUCUUCAUCUUUCGUUUGAAUCUCCAGCUAUCUUGAUGGCGUCUUCAAGGUAAUCACUUUCGUUUUCUUUUCAUUUUCGUUUUCUUUCAUUUUCGUUUCAUUUUCGUUUUUUUUCAUUUUUGUAAUCACUAAUCUAUGCAUGUAAUCAUUUUUUUCUUUUUCAUAGCAAUCACUCUGCCUCCAACUCGGUAACACAGCCCAUAUAUACAGAGAAUGUGGAGAAAUCUCUGUGCAACCUGAACGGUCACCUGGCGACCCUCCGUGAGCAGAUGGUGGAACUCACCCAGUUGACUACUACCCUGAACAAGAUGGUGGAGCUGCUCGGGGAUGAUCUCAAAGCAGUGAUGGUGGAGCAAUCGCAACUGGUCCAGCGACUGCGUCAUGGACGUUGAGGGCUGGUGGAACUGGUUGCUGGUGAGGGCUGGUGGAUGUAUGUUUUUUUAAGAACUUUUGUUAAUUAAGAACUUUAAUUAAGAACGUAUAAUUAAGUAUGUUUUGUUGAUGUAAGGAUUUUAAGUAUGGUAACUUUAAUUAAGUUGGAUGGUAACUUUAUUAAGUAUGUUUAUGAUGUUGGAUUUUAAGAAUGGUUGUUGAUGGUUUCUUUUGUAUGGUUUAGUUUCUUUUGUAUGCAUCUGAUUUGAGUAUGGUUUUUAAGAAUGUUGGUGAUUUUUUGGUUUAAGUAUGAUUUGAGUAUGGUUUUUAAGUAUCACUGAUUUAUGAAGCAUCUGAUUUGAAGCAUCUGAUUUUAAGUCUAGUUUUUAAGUAUGGUGGUUCAUUUUUCAUGUUGGUUUUAAGCCUAGUUUUUAAGUAUGGUGGUUUUUAAGUAUGGUCUUUUUUAUGUUUUGGUCUGAGGUGCCUUAUGAUUUUAGGUGCCUUAAGUUACUGAGGUGCCUUAUGGUGUAUUGUUGAUGGUUUAGUUUAUGGUGGAUGGUUUAAUUUUUCAAUUUGUAUUCAUCUGAUUCUUUUGAAAAGCCAGUAGCGUGUAGUUUCUGUCUUAUGAUUAUAGUUCUUGUAUCUAUGUUACUGAGGUGUCUUAUAGUUUUUGUCUUAAUGAUUGCUGAGGUAUAGUUUUUGCCCACUUGUAUAGUUUUCGUUCUUGCCAACAGACAAAUGCUUUAAAAUGCCAACAGACUAAAAACUCGUAGCUUAAAAUGCUUUAAAUUAUUCAAACUCCCGAAUACCAUAAACUCGUUUUUUGUAAAUCUUUCCCCAAGAGUUUUUGAAUAAUUCACUUGUUUUUUCCAUAAUUCACCACUGAGAGAAUUAGUACCAUAAACACAGGCCACACCACUCCAUAAUUCAUCAUAAUUCAGUUGUUUUUGAAUAUCACAAUAAACACAAAUAGCACCAUAAACACAAUUAGCACCAUAAACACAAUUAGCAACAUAAACUGAAAGAAUUAGUACCAAACAAGCUCAAUAUGUACAUGAAUUUAAAUUCAAUCAAUUUAAAUGAAUUCGAAUUUGAAUGAAAAAUGGAUUUGCACCUGGGCUCAUGGUUUGGACCUCAUGAGACUCACCUGGUCAACACAGUCAACAACUGAGUUGACUCGCUUCCAUGCUUCGAGUAAACAACUGAGUUGACUCGCUUCCACCAUGCUUCGUUCUCUCGAACGAAGCUUCGAGACUCACCAUGCUUAAUCAACUGAGUUCCCCUGCAAUAAAUCUCGAACAAAAUUAGAAACAAUCCAUGGAUUUAAAUUCAAUCAAUUAUAAACCACAGAAAUUGAAUAUUUUUAAACGAUUGUCGAAUUCGAAGGCUUUCAACAAUCCAUGGAUUAGAUUAUUGAUUUAGGAGACAUGAUUUCAUUUUGGAUUUGCGAAGAGGGGUAGAGAGGCGAAGAGGGGAAGAAAAUGAAAAUGAAAAAUGAAAGAAGAGAGAGAGGAGGAAAAAUGAAAGAAGAGAGAGAAG